Mangifera indica (mango) is the source of this 692-nucleotide long non-coding RNA. RefSeq lists it as uncharacterized. The transcript has 2 exons. NCBI's taxonomy places the organism in Eukaryota, Viridiplantae, Streptophyta, Magnoliopsida, Sapindales, Anacardiaceae. The record is from RefSeq and is a predicted model, not a curated record.
CAUUGUAAUGACUUUUCUAAUGUGGAUGCAACAAGCGAUCUUGCCUAGGUUUACCAUAUUGUGGGGAGGUCACGUGUUCAUGCUCUUUGUCUUUCCAUGUUUUGGAUUUGUAUUGAAGAACCAUGAGUCACGGCUAAUCAGGUUCCUUGUGUUAAGGGUGGAAUGGAUUAAGCAAGGUCGCUCAAAAGAGACUUCAGAGGGCUACUCGAGCUUCAAGCAUGUCUUCUCUUCCUCCUGGAGAGAUUCGACCCUUUGAAGUCGAGAGCAAAAUAGCACCAUAUUGGCUGAGGAGUGAGAAUGGUUUCUACUACAUGGUUAAAACUAGCAGUCAUAGAGGAGAUCAAAGUCAAGAUUCCCACUUUGUACCCUGCUCAAAUUCAGUUCCUUGACAGUCUUAUUUUCAUGGGAAAAAGUUACACGGAGAAGCUUGCAGCGGAGAACUAGCAUUAUAUCAAGGUGGUAUGUGGAAAAGAAGCAAGGUGGAUAAACAUCCAUAGUGCCAGUUUUAGGCCGAGAGCCGGUAGGUCGCAAGCAUUUGAAUUUGAUAAGAAAGUCUACUACUCAUUUUUCGCUGUAACAAAUGACUUGCAUGUACUUUUUAGCCACUUUCCACUCUUAUGUGAGUGUAUCAUAACUUGUAAUUGUAAAUUGUUACAGCUAAUAAAAUCAUGAAUAAAAUAUUUUUAUUGUAA